AAGUUGCCCGUGUUUUUUUCG
RNAcentral lists this microRNA (21 nucleotides) under Dasypus novemcinctus (nine-banded armadillo). Its description in RNAcentral is "dno-miR-543-5p". Its record names the gene dno-miR-543-5p. Lineage: Eukaryota; Metazoa; Chordata; Mammalia; Cingulata; Dasypodidae. The record is from miRBase by way of RNAcentral.